GAUGAACGCUGGCGGCGUGCCUAAUACAUGCAAGUCGAGCGAACGGACGAGAAGCUUGCUUCUCUGAUGUUAGCGGCGGACGGGUGAGUAACACGUGGAUCACCUACCUAUAAGACUGGGAUAAUUUCGGGAAACCGGAGCUAAUACCGGAUAAUAUUUUGAACCGCAUGGUUCAAAAGUGAAAGACGGCCUUGCUGUCACUUAUAGCUGGUUCCGCGCUGCAUUAGCUAGUUGGUAAGGUAACGGCUUACCAAGGCAACGAUGCAUAGCCGACCUGAGAGGGUGAUCGGCGACAUUGGAACUGAGACACGGUCCAGACUCCUACGGGAGGCAGCAGUAGGGAAUCUUCCGCAAUGGGCGAAAGCCUGACGGAGCAACGCCGCGUGAGUGAUGAAGGUCUUCGGAUCGUAAAACUCUGUUAUUGGGGAAGAACAGAUGUGUAAGUAGCUGUGCACAUCUUGACGGUACCUAAUCAGAAAGCCACGGCUAACUACGUG
Molecule: ribosomal RNA, 497 nt
Filed under: uncultured bacterium
Lineage: Bacteria
Description: partial 16S ribosomal RNA
Rfam family: Bacterial small subunit ribosomal RNA
Source: RNAcentral